UGUAUAAAGCGCAACGGUAGCGCGUUCGACUCCAGAUCGAAAGGUUAUCCGUUCAAAUCGGGUGUGGUUCAA
Molecule: non-coding RNA, 72 nt
Organism: Mollisia scopiformis
Lineage: Eukaryota; Fungi; Ascomycota; Leotiomycetes; Helotiales; Mollisiaceae
Source: the annotation of a RefSeq genome assembly